Oryzias latipes (Japanese medaka) is the source of this 493-nucleotide long non-coding RNA. RefSeq lists it as uncharacterized. Lineage: Eukaryota; Metazoa; Chordata; Actinopteri; Beloniformes; Adrianichthyidae. The record is from RefSeq and is a predicted model, not a curated record.
AUGAAUGCAGCUGUUGUUAUCACUGUGACGGAAGAGCGGUGCUGAAAAAUACGGCCUCCAUCGAGAGACUGAACGUAACACGACUGCAGCUGAAUCUGCCACGAGGCUCGACAACGUCUUCCAUCAACUGCAAAGCGGUGAUCGCUGUGGCCGCCAAAACAUCCAAAUGUCAGGCGGGCUACAAAGAUUUCAGGCCAAAAGAGAAAGCCUCACAUGUGAUGAAGUGUCUGUAUUGGUUGGAAAAACCAGCAGCCCUCCAGUGCUUCAGCCGUCCAACCAUCAACCGUUUCAGACAUCCAUCCUCCCACCACUUCAGCCCCACAGCCGUCCACCAGUGUGCCAACUUCUGACAUUUUACUAUCCUGGGGGGGGUCAUGGCCUCUACGCUGGAUUCCAAAAAAGAGACAAAAAAACCCCGCCCUCAACCCCCACUCUUAGUCAGACGUGUUUAUUUUUUUAUUUACAAUAAUAAAUAAUAUACUAUGUACAUUUA